UAUCUUAGAUUAUUUUGAAAAACCCUUCAAUUUUAUUCUCUUUUAAUUACUGUGUAUUUUAAACUAUAUUAUUGAGACGUCCUAAAUGAUAAAUAGGUACCUAAAGAAGGUAUUUCAGACGGAUUGCAAUAAUAUUUUUUUGUUUAGCCUGGGCAAGUAUUACUUAUCUACUAAAGGUAUUUAUUUAUUAAAAUAGGUUUUAAAGACUUUGCUGGUGUAAAAAGAUUUUACUUAUAUUUCUACACGUUUUACGAUAUUACUUUAGGUAAUAAUGUUUAAUUGUAAAUAAUAUUCUUAUUUAUUAUUAACUUACUUAAUAUUUUCCUAUCUAAUAGCAAUGGGAUUUGUUUACAAAAACGGAAUACAUUAAGUUUAGAUUUUUGAUUGAAAGUUAUCAUAAUCAUAUCAUACAACUUCGCGUACGUUGAUUUUGCUCCGAGAUGAGCAGCUCGAGCACUCGUGGCACGGAUAUCACAAUUAACGGUGGAGUUUUUAACUAAUAUUUUUCUAAUAAUACUUAAAAACAUAUUUACACCCAGACGCAGGAUUGUUAGGUAAUAUAAAUUAACAAUCCUGCGUCUGGGAAAAAUAUAUUUCACAAAGCUAGUUACGUAACGUGUAGGUGUUUAUUUACUGUUAUAAUUAGUUUAUAAAAUCAACGUUUCACUUACUAACUAAAAAUAUUUUUUAGAAUACCCAGAACGAAAUAUGCCUCGGGGAAUUCAUACUUCGAAAAGACAAAGCGGGUUUCAACAGAGAAAAGCCAAAAAGGCUAAAAUGGAUGAAAUUCAGAGCAUGUCCGGUUCUCUUUUCAAAUAUGUCACAAAAGCAGAUAGCGGCCAAAGUUCAAGUAAAGUACCCGAGUCUCCUGCUGACGAAAGUAAUGAUUCACAUCUUGGAGACUCACAUUCAGAUAGCAACAUCGACAAUACAGAAUCAAUGAAGACGACCCAGGACCUUGACGGAAUCAAAAUAAAUAAUGAAAAUGACGCCGUUAAUGCUACUUUCGGAGAUAGCAUUAGCUUUGAAGAAUCAGUUCAACACUUGAGAGAUGUUUCACAUUGGAGUUUACCGGUACCUGAUAAUGUUCGCAUUGACAUAAUAAAAAAGGGCAGUGAACAUUUCCAGAACAAAGAAGGACCGUUUCCUACUGUAUCUCGUCAUGGUUCAAAGAUUAAAGGUGAUUCUCGUCAUCUUUCACAGGAAUGGUUUUAUAAACCGAUGCCUAGUGGUGAAAAAAUUCUACGAUCAUGGAUGGUAUUUUCUCCUAUAUCAAAUAACCUGUACUGUUUUUGCUGUCGUUUAUUUGCUGUCAGUAACAUACAAACAACAUUUACAACUGGAUUUCAGAAGUGGUGGAAACUAAAUCCUAAAGUAUUGGACCAUGAAACUUCAUGUGAACAUUUAGAAAAUUUCGAAAAGUGGAAAACUUUGGAAAUGAGAUUAAAAUCUCACACCACAAUAGAUGAUGCAGCCUUGCAAUUAAUGAAUACGGAAAAACAGAAGUGGAAAAAUCUUUUAUCUCGAUUAUUAGAUAUAACAUUGUUUUUGGCUAAACAAAACCUAGCAUUUCGUGGACAUGAUGAAACCAAAGGGUCGUCUAAUAAAGGUAAUUUCUUAGAACUAGUUAAACUGCUGUCAAAGUAUGAUGCAGUACUCAAAGAACAUAUACUAUAUUUGGAGCAGGAAAAAUCACCUAAAGUAACAUAUUUAUCGCCAGAAAUACAAAAUGAGUUCAUAAAUGUUUUAGCUAAUCAUGUAAAAUGUCAGCUUGUAAACGAAAUUAAAUCGGCAAAAUAUUUCGGUAUCAUGUUUGAUAGCACACCUGACGUUUCACAUGUUGAUCAAAUGUCUGAAGUGAUUCGUUAUGUAAAAAUUAAUAAUAGAAAAGUAGAAGUCAAAGAAGUAUUCUUAGGAUUCUUUCCUUUACAUGGAAAAAAAGCAGCUGACUUAAGCGCUGAAAUACUAAAGAAGCUUGAAAACGAUGGCUUAGAUAUUAUGAUGUGUCGUUCUCAAGGUUAUGAUAAUGCUGCAGUUAUGAGUGGUAUACACGGAGGAGUACAAGCUAUUAUAAAAGAAAAAAACAAUAAAGCAAUUUUUAUUGGUUGUAUAGAUCAUUCAAUUAAUUUAUGCGGCCAACAUUCGUUCGCACAAAAUGUGACUUGUGUUACAUUUUUCGGAGCAGUGGAAACAAUAUUUAACUUUUUUUCAACUUCCACAAGUCGUUGGGAAGUGCUCCUCAAUCACAGCAAAGCAUCUGUUAAAAGACUUUCGACAACGCGAUGGAGUGCUCAUUACGGUGCAGUAAAAGUAUUGGCUGAAAAUUUUGAUGGGAUAAUAUCUGCAAUUGAGGAACUAUGUGACCAAGACGUAAAUUUAGAAACUAGAGGUGCUGCACAAAAUCUUAUGCCUGCUGUGUGCAAUUUCUCAUUUCUUUGUUUUCUUUUCUUUUGGAAUGAUGUGCUAAGGGAAGUGAACAAUGCUCAGAUCGCAUUACAAAGUAAAGGUUUAUGUGUUGAUGAAAUAAUCAUAAAACUAGAAGCACUUCGUCUAUUCAUUGGAGAGAAACGGUUGCAUCUAGCAGAAGAGGCAAUAGAUUUUGCUGUACAAAAAUCGGAAAAAUACAACAUUUCGAUGGAACGACGAAUUCGUCGCAAGAAACGCAUGCCCGGUGAGUUAGCGUCGUCCACCGAGGCUGGACUUACACUUAGAGCGGAACUUCAAAAGGACAUGUUAGAAUGCAUUGACAGAUUCAAUAUUGAACUCGAAACAAGAGUAAAGUCCAUUAAAGACGUAGCUUCAUUGUUUGAGGUUGUGCAGUCAAAGACCUUGCUUUCGGCAAACACUGAACAGUUAAAAUUAGCUAUAUCAAAAUUUACUAACCUUUACGAUGAAGUAUCAGAAACAGAACUCCUUUUAGAAAUACCAAGAUUGAGAAGACAUUUAAAAGCGGCUAAUAUUACUGUCUCUAAUUGGGUGAUACUGGACUUUUUGAAAUUUAUUGUGGAAUGGGAUUUUACAGAAUCUCUUCCGAAUCUAACGGUAGCACUAAAGUUAUUUAUAACAAUAUGUGCAUCAGUAGCUUCAUGUGAGAGAAGUUUCAGCAAAUUAAAAUUAAUUAAAAAUUAUUUGCGGUCUACAAUGACCGAAACCAGAUUAAACAAUCUUGGUAUUUUAACGAUAGAACAUGAAGCAACACAAAAUAUAAAUUUUGAAGACGUGAUUUCGGAGUUCGCUAGUGUCAAAGCUAGAAGGAAGAAAUUUUAAUUUUUAACAAACUAAAUUUGUUUUACAUAAUAAACAAAUAUUUGUAAUAGUUUCGAUUGAGUUUUAGGGUGACACCUAUAAAAUCCGC
Molecule: RNA transcript, 3355 nt
Organism: Colias croceus (clouded yellow)
Lineage: Eukaryota; Metazoa; Arthropoda; Insecta; Lepidoptera; Pieridae
Gene name: zinc finger MYM-type protein 1-like
Exons: 2
Source: RefSeq, a predicted model, not a curated record